Paramuricea clavata is the source of this 1186-nucleotide non-coding RNA. Lineage: Eukaryota; Metazoa; Cnidaria; Anthozoa; Malacalcyonacea; Plexauridae. The record is from the annotation of a GenBank genome assembly.
GUCCUUGCAUAACAUUAGUUAGUACCCAUACAAUGCACCAGAUACCAGGAACCUAAACCAAUUUAAGUAUUUAGAUAGCGAUAAUUUUCCAUGAGAAAAUUGUUCGAUAGUCUUUCUUGACAAAUUGUUCUUGAAUAGUCCUUGCAUAACAUUAGUUAGUACCCAUACAAUGCACCAGAUACCAGGAACAAAAACCAAUUUAAGUAUUUACAUAGCGAUAAUUUUCCAUGAGAAAAUUGUUUGAUAGUUUUUCUUGACAAAUUGUUCUUGAAUAGUCCUUGCAUAACAUUAGUUAGUACCCAUACAAUGUGCCAGAUACCAGGAACAUAAACCAAUUUAAGUAUUUACAUAGCGAUAAUUUUCCAUGAGAAAAUUGUUCGAUAGACUUUCUAGACAAAUUGUUCUUGAAUAGUCCUCGCAUAACAUUAGUUAGUACCCAUACAAUGCACCAGAUCCCAGGAAUAUGAACGGGUGGGUGGGUGGAAAUUUUCUUUCUCGGUAACAAGACAUUGCUCUUUGUUGGUAUAUGUGUCAAAGUGAACUCCCUUAUCACAUUGACCUUUGUUCUGCGUGUUCGUUGUUGACAUAUGAUUGGUCAGUUGAUCUUUCAUUCCGUUUACACAUGCCCAGGGAAACAUUUGAACUUUGGACUAUUGGAUAUCGCCUUUUUGUGGCUGUCGACAAGCUUAUCCUGUUACUAUGAGAUUAUAACCAGGUUUGAAGGUGACAAACGUGUUGUCUCAUUAACUUGAAUUUAUAUAUUGUUAUAUAUAAAUUUGCUUUAAUGAUUCAAGCACGUUAGGUGAAAAAGAAAACAGCCGCAGAAUAAGUAAAACACACACCAAAUCAUUGUGGGAGAAUGGGUUCAGGGUGAAGUGAACCAAUUAUAUACAUUAUACUCUCAAACUCUGGUCAACCCAAAGACUCAUUAAGCCUUAUGUUUUCAUCCCGCAGGGGUAUAUAUAAGACCUGCUAGGAGAGACUGAAUGCCCUAGGGGUCAUAAUCCCCAAAUAGAGCCCUGCCAGAAGGGUAGCGAGCCCCUCUAACAUCAACCUGAACCAAGGGGUCAUAAUCCCCUUGGACAGUCUCUACGAUUCGAAUGAUUAUAUUUACAUAAAUAACUGAGUCUAUGGGCCUGAAGUUGACCAUUGGGAACACUUCAACCCCACAUAUACACAGCAUGUG